UGUGGAGGGCUGGCAAGGCUGAGUCUGGAGAGUGAGACUCAGGGACCAGCAGCCUCCUGAAAGCAAAGGGAUGGAGAGAGCAGCCCUGCCUGCAGCCAACCCAGGGCUCACUGCGCCAUCCCACACUG
Molecule: non-coding RNA, 128 nt
Organism: Zonotrichia albicollis (white-throated sparrow)
Lineage: Eukaryota; Metazoa; Chordata; Aves; Passeriformes; Passerellidae
Source: Ensembl